AGAGUUUGAUCCUGGCUCAGCCUGAACGCUGGCGGCGUGGCUAAGACAUGCAAGUCGCACGGUGUAGCAAUACACAGUGGCGAACGGGAGAGUAAUGAAUCGCUAACGUACCCCGGACUCUGGGAUAGCCAUCCGAAAGGGUGGGUAAUACCAGAUAAUACGACCUUGUCGCAUGGCAGGGUUUUCAAAGGUCCGCCGGUCUGGGAGCGGGCGAUUUCGUAUCAGCUAGUUGGUGAGGUAACGGCUCACCAAGGCGACGACGCGUAGCCGGACUGAGAGGUUGGCCGGCCUCAUUGGGACUGAGACACUGCCCAGACUCCUACGGGAGGCAGCAGCGAGGAAUCUUGGGCAAUGGGCGCAAGCCUGACCCAGCGACGCCGCGUGGAGGAUGACGGCCCUUGGGUUGUAAACUCCUUUUCUGGGGGACGAAGACCUGACGGUACCCCAGGAAUCAGCCACGGCUAACUACGUGCCAGCCGCCGCGGUAAUAC
RNAcentral lists this ribosomal RNA (491 nucleotides) under uncultured bacterium. RNAcentral's name for it is "bacterial SSU rRNA". It matches the Rfam family "Bacterial small subunit ribosomal RNA", at positions 8 to 526 of the family's 1533-position model. The record is from RNAcentral.